This 443-nucleotide ribosomal RNA is filed under the name uncultured bacterium. Its description in RNAcentral is "bacterial SSU rRNA". It matches the Rfam family "Bacterial small subunit ribosomal RNA", at positions 30 to 475 of the family's 1533-position model. The record is from RNAcentral.
AUUGAACGCUGGCGGCAUGCCUUACACAUGCAAGUCGAACGGCAGCGGACCUUCGGGUGCCGGCGAGUGGCGAACGGGUGAGUAAUAUAUCGGAACGUACCUUUCAGUGGGGGAUAACGUAGCGAAAGUUACGCUAAUACCGCAUAUUCUGUGAGCAGGAAAGCAGGGGAUCGCAAGACCUUGCGCUGAUUGAGCGGCCGAUAUCAGAUUAGCUAGUUGGUGAGGUAAAGGCUCACCAAGGCGACGAUCUGUAGCGGGUCUGAGAGGAUGAUCCGCCACACUGGAACUGAGACACGGUCCAGACUCCUACGGGAGGCAGCAGUGGGGAAUUUUGGACAAUGGGCGCAAGCCUGAUCCAGCCAUGCCGCGUGAGUGAAGAAGGCCUUCGGUUGUAAGGACUCGUUUCGGUCCGGGAAGAAAGUACGGCACACGGUUAAUAACCC